GAUGAACGCUGGCGGCGUGCCUAAUACAUGCAAGUCGAGCGAACAGACGAGGAGCUUGCUCCUCUCACGUUAGCGGCGGACGUGUGAGUCACACGUGUAUAACCUACCUAUAAGACUGGGAUCACUUCGGGAAACCGGAGCUAAUCCCGGAUAAUAUAUUGAACCGCAUGGGUCAAUGGUAAGAUACGGUUUUGCUGUCACUUAUAGAUGGAUCCCGGCCGCAUUAGCUAGUUGGUAAGUUAACGGCUUACCAAGGGAACGAUGCGUAGCCGAGGGGAGAGGGGGAUCGGCCACACUGGAACUGGGACGGGGUCAAUAGUACUACGGGAGGCAGCAGUAUGGAAUCUUACGCAACGGGCGAAAGCCUGACGGAGCAACGGCGAGUGAGAGAUGACGGUGUUCCGAUCGUGAAGCUCUGUUACUAGGGAAGAACAAAUGUGGAAGGAACUAUGCACGUCGUGACGGUAACUGAUAAGAAAGCAACGGCUAACUACGUG
Molecule: ribosomal RNA, 497 nt
Filed under: uncultured bacterium
Lineage: Bacteria
Description: partial 16S ribosomal RNA
Rfam family: Bacterial small subunit ribosomal RNA
Source: RNAcentral